UGUGCUCGUCCAUGUGCGUGUACGUUCGUGCCGCGGAGAAGCCGAGGACAAAGCACAAACGCCUUGGAGAAGAGGAGACGAAGCGGAGACCCUAAACCCUAACCCUAGAUUUUGGCUCUUCGAAUCGUUCCCCUUUCCUCCUCCUCCUCCUCCUCCUGAUCACGUUCGAGGUUGCUGUAAUGGAGAAGUUCUCGGGCGAUGAUAACUUCGAUUUCCCGCACUUUCGCAUCUAUCCUCGUCGACAUCGGUGUUGUUCUCAAUCAGGUUAAGAUCCACAUGAAGAUCGUUGACCAAAUAGUAAAUGCAAGUGCGGCAGUCAAGUAGGUCCAAAGAAAGAUGACGGAGCACUCUUCUUGACCAACAUCGAACAAUUCAGCCAUUGUACCUGCAUGUGGUGUUAGUAACUCUUCCGCAAUCUGAUGGAUAGUUCCGCCAGUAAUUUCUUUGAAUCUUUCCCAGUUGUUGGACAUGCAGCUUCUCAUCUUUCUACGGGAUAAAAAUGGUUUAGAUGAAGGUGAAAGUAAAGCAUCCUGAUCACUACAGCUAGCUUCUGUUUCUCGGAUGUUGAAGUGUGCAUUUCCACUUUCCUCCGAUUUCUCGUCAAUUGUCUUCGAUAGUCUACUUUCAUUUUGGAUUUUGUCAUAUAGUUGAGCUGAUUUGUGCAUAAGAUCAUACGUGUGUGUCCAUAUGAAGAUACCACCAAGCUACAUGAACAGUAAGAACUUGCAUAAAUCUAGACCUAAAAAGACAAGAAUACUAUUAUGGACUUUGGCAUAAAGAGGGUAGAGAUUUUCCUACCGCCAUAGAAAAAGACACAUAAGAAAGUCCGUUGGAAUUACAUGUGCUGGGCUCUCCAAAUGGAUUUCCCUCCUCAUUGCAGAUUGCUGGGAUAAUAAUCAGAGGCAAAUUGCCCAAGUUACCUGGAGUGCAUAGGAGAUAAUACAAUCCUUCUAGUGAUUAGAUAACUUUAGAAUAGUUUAUCAAAUCUUUAAACAAUUUUGGUGGCUAUUACCAGCUGAGCAACUAGCAAUGAUAAUCUUCUCAAGAUAUUUUUCUGGUCUUAAGAUCUUCACUACUAUCCACCCUAGAAUCCCCCCAAUCAAGAACGUUAUCCCAAUGUUCACAGGCAUAAACCACCUGCGAGUUACCAAGGAAAUUUAGUUACACCUAACAUCCUUAAUUAUCUCGAAGGCAUAAGGGGUUGAUACUUACCAAGAAAUUAUCUCUUCCAGAGUAACUGUCUUUGCGAGACUCGCAAAGACGAGAGCUGGGCCAAAAACUGCAAACAGUAUCUAGGUAGUACAAAAGAAAUCAAGAUUUGAAGGGCAUGAGCAAUUUUAUGUAGGAGCCGAGAGAAUGUUGGCGUAUCCAGAUGCGAGAAAAGCUCCGAGUGUUCCUACGAGCAUGAUCUCGGCCACCGGCACUGAUGCCAUCAUGAACAGAGACCAAAACUCCAUCUUGUUCUUCUCCCUUCCCUCUCUCCUGCUGUAAGAACAGCAUGGCAUGUAAAAUCUCUGCAGAAGAACCAACAAAGUAAUUGAGGUCAUGAAGAGCCCCAUGUGUCUACCUAUGGUGGGGGUCCAUAUGAAAUUCGUCAUUUCAGAAACUUACUGAAGUAAAUGCGUAAGUGCAUUAAAGAAUCCUGCUGGCAUUUUGUUUAGGAAAUUCGGUGUAAAAUACUGACUUCCAUUCGACUGUCAAGUAUCAAAGUUAUCAAAAUGAUUCCUAUGUUUAUCAAGUUUCUUGGUGUUGUAUAAAGAUGAUUGUUAUAAAUAACACUCCAAUGGCUGUUGAGUUGAGCAUAUACCUAGUUUCAGCAUAUAUUUACUGCAUCUGAACAACUGUGGAAGGCAUUGCAAGAUUGUCUGUAAAAACAUUGUGCAGAGAUAUGCCAUUUAUUUUUUUCA
Molecule: long non-coding RNA, 1907 nt
Organism: Ananas comosus (pineapple)
Lineage: Eukaryota; Viridiplantae; Streptophyta; Magnoliopsida; Poales; Bromeliaceae
Exons: 6
Source: RefSeq, a predicted model, not a curated record